AUUGAACGCUGGCGGCAUGCUUUACACAUGCAAGUCGAACGGUAACAGGCCGCAAGGUGCUGACGAGUGGCGAACGGGUGAGUAAUGCAUCGGAACGUGCCCAGUCGUGGGGGAUAACUACUCGAAAGAGCAGCUAAUACCGCAUACGAUCUAUGGAUGAAAGCGGGGGACCGUAAGGCCUCGCGCGAUUGGAGCGGCCGAUGUCAGAUUAGGUAGUUGGUGGGGUAAAGGCUCACCAAGCCAACGAUCUGUAGCUGGUCUGAGAGGACGACCAGCCACACUGGGACUGAGACACGGCCCAGACUCCUACGGGAGGCAGCGGUGGGGAAUUUUGGACAAUGGGCGCAAGCCUGAUCCAGCAAUGCCGCGUGCAGGAAGAAGGCCUUCGGGUUGUAAACUGCUUUUGUACGGAACGAAACGGCUCUGGUUAAUACCCGGGGCUAAUGACGGUACCGUAAGAAUAAGCACCGGCUAACUACGUG
RNAcentral lists this ribosomal RNA (482 nucleotides) under uncultured bacterium. RNAcentral's name for it is "partial 16S ribosomal RNA". It matches the Rfam family "Bacterial small subunit ribosomal RNA", at positions 30 to 507 of the family's 1533-position model. The record is from RNAcentral.